CUGCGUCCUGCGGGAACGCGCCGAGCGAAGUCAUUUCAUGUCAGCCAUUUCAAGAAAUCAGCCCCAGUUUAAAGGGAUUUCACGAUUUUAUUCCUCUAUCGACGCCUCUGAACAGAAGCAGAAAAGGCCUACUCUGGACGGUUCAGCAUUCGACCUACAUCUGAAGGACAAGGGACACUCCCUUGAGGACAACAACGUCCACAUUUUAGCUAAAGAAGACAGAUGGUUUAAAAGAAAAAAAAAAGAAAAAGGAAGCCAUCUGUUUAAAAAAUCCUUCUCUGAAAAGGGCAGGUUGACUGGGACAUAACCUGCCAUUAGUCUACGAUAAAAUACAGUCUUAACAUCUGUCCCCAAGAAGUUUUACCCCCUUUCACUCCCCGAGGCCGGAGCCUCUGACUCAUAACGGGCUGUUUGAGCACCAUUCACUGGAGGAAGAGGAGGACAGGGACAAACAGUCUCCUCCCACAAGAUGCCCACAGACGCUUCCUAUUUAAACCCCAACUCAACGGCGGCCUUUUAAAACUGAAGAAGCUACGUGGAUGAAUCGUCUUCAUUUUUUCCAAAACAUGCUACUAUUCCUCAGCAAAUUCCUAAAGGUAAAUAACACCACGAAGAAAAUAAGCUUUUCUAUUCACAUACAGUACUUGACAAAACAAUAACAGUAAUAUGAACCACAGCCCCCAAGAAGAUAACAGACUUGAAUCAAUAGCUCUAUUAAGAUAAGAUUCGGUGUAGGGCCACUACCUUAGAGAGUCUUACUUUUCACAAGUGUACUUCAUGAAUCGAAACACUUUUCCCCAUGCAGAUCUCAGCAGUCUCAUCCAUUUCUGAUGGUGAGCAGUUCCGCUUUGACAUCUGCAGCUCUGGUGAUAACAUCUUUGGGAGAUUUUACUAUUGAAACAAGCUAUAUCCUCUCAGGCCAAAAUAGCUCAGAUGACCUAUCUCUGUCUUGUAGACGUCAACAACCGUUAUUCUCGUUUAAGAGAACUCAACCCACUUAAGAGGCAUUAUUUAUUUAUAAAACACUUACCAUUCACAACUUGAGCUUCGUCGCAUAAUUAGAUGUGCUUUUCAGAAGGGAAGAAACAAAACCAUUCAUUAUGUUUUGAAUAGUAGCUGGGAAACCAAAUAGUGCUUUAUUAUGGUUUUACACCUACUUGAAACCUUUACCUGAGAAAAUGUGAAUAAGAGUGUAAUGAAUGUGAAAUGAAGACAGAGAAAUAGCACUUAAGAAAAGUUCUUUACUGAAACAAAGACAUGACUUUUACAAAAUGAUUGAAUGACAAUCUGGAGGCUCUUUCAUUUCUCUUCAGGAGGGGACGAGAACAGACGGCUCCCGUCUCCCGGGGCGACAGGUUAACAUCUUUAAAAUAGACUACAUGGCAUUUACAGGUUUUACAAAACAACACGAUAAAAUAGAAUAGAAAAUCCCCGCCCGCACGUACAACUCUGCUGAGAGUUUCUGUAUUAAAUAAAUUAAUUCUCCACGGGGCUGAAGCACCUCAUGACUUUUUUUUUACCCGGCGACAGCCUAAAGUGUUCUCAGUGUCUGCAGUCUCACACAACACAAGGAAGAGUUUACAGACACCGUGCCCAAAAAGUUACAGACGUAAUCUGAUCAAAAGGUCUGGCCGAGAGAGGGAGGGGCAGAGAAACCGAGACAUUUGAUACACGUAAAAACUCACACUCCAAAACAUUUUCUUUUAACACAAAUCGUCAACGGCGACGCAGACCUGCGCAAACAUCGUCGCAGACUGGACUUAAACGUACAACUUUCAGUAGGCGGGUGGAGGAAAACAAUAAACUGGGUAGACAAACAUUAAAAAUCUUUAAAAUCUUUAAAAUUCAUCCAUAUUCCGUAGAAAAAAUAGAACAAUAGAACAACCUCGGCAUCGGCCUCAAAGCACCUAUUAAACAGGCCCUUUAGAAACAAAUCGACAUGUUGAACUGCAUUCAGUUCACUAAAAUAAAGCAGCUAACUGCAUUUAAAAAAAAAAAAGAAAGAAAAAAAAAAGAGGAGGCAUCAUCAGUGAAUAAAAUGGCUCAUGGCUCCGCUCCCAUAAAUAUAUAUAUAUAUGUAUAUAUAUAUUUUAUAUUUGUGGGUCCAUUUGAAACAGCAGUGUAGUCUGGAAUGCUGGGGAAACGUACGUAGUCACGUGUGGGAGCUGUGAAUGUCUGGCCGUGCUGUGGAGAUUCUUUCAAACGGCGAAACCAGGUUUGAGAUAGUUCCCUCAAACUCCAGUUUGCGUACGACACGGUAAUCUCAACAAGUGUUAUAUCAUCUCCUCUCAAUAGUGCAGUUGUAUAGCUAGUAAAUCGAAUUUUCCUUUCACGACACUAGUAAGGCCACAAAUGAAUUCCACGUUUUUUUUUUUUUACAAAUUCGUAUCAGGUUUCUUAUCAGUAAACGGAGCGAAUAUCGAUAUGCGCAAACAAAAACGCCACACAAAUUCAACAGCACGGAGGGUUUUCAAGUACCAGCGUUUUUUAACUACUCGGACAGAUCAUUCCUGACUUUAGGCAUAGUGUUUAUACAGCUGCUACUGUCGGGACAACAUAUUUAUUUUUUUUUUUUUUAAAAAAAAACAGGUUGAUAAAAAUGGCACAAUUGUGCUUGAAAAUGUUCAAAAAAGGGAAGUAUUUAUUUGGUGCUGUUACAGAUGUUAGGUGCAGUUUUGAAAAAAAAAACGGGUUUUUGUUUCGUUUGCUGUUAAAUUAUUCUCCUGUAACAGUUGCAAGAAGUUAAUUUUUAGAGUUUUUAUCAUGUUUGUAUGUUAUUUAUAGUGGAAUUUCUGUUUCUGGUGAAAAUCAUCCACGUGCACGUGUUUUAAGUGGAUAUUCAAUGUUCGCCGGGAUGUAAUUUUUUGAUGGCUGCAAUUCAAUGGAAUUAUGUAAACACGCUGUGUCAGGUUGGGAUUUCCCAUUUGGCUGCCAGCACGGCCCAAUUAUCAAAGUUGACAACAGCUCUGAAGUCCCAGAGCCCCCGUGGUGCCUCUGAGGGACCAGCGCGAAUCCACAUAAGCAGCUGUAAACAUCCACUUCUCACAGGUUUGUUUUAAAGUACUUCACAUCCGUCCCGAUGUAAAGAACCAUUUAGGGUAGAUUGACUGCCUGUUAAAACGACUCUCUGGGCAGAGAGUCACACAUUCACGGUUAAAAUAUCUACUCCUCGUACAUGAGAAGCACAAACUGGAGCUACAAAAUGUUUUUUUUUUUUUUUUUUUGGAUACAAAAUAAUUUGAGACGUUGCACCAUUUGAGAAAAAUACAAAGUUGGGGUCCUGCUUUAUUCUGUAACGUUGCAGCGACGGCAUGUUGAACGAGCGUGGCAGCACCUACACAACCUAGACAAUAUGGAGCCUGGCAGGUGGCGGCAGUAACAUUUAACAGUAACAUUUAGAGAUGAAACGAUUAGUUUUAUUAGGGGAAGGAACAAAAAAAAAAACAAACAAAAAAAAAAAAUCCUAGGCAUUUUGCAGUUUUACUGGAUCCAGUUUUUCUCUGUUACUAUUAUUUUAACCUGAAUGGUACAUGAAUGUGAUACAGCUUGAGUCACAGUUAUUAGCCCUCUUUACAAAACCGACCCAAACCCAUAUGUUUUUACUAAACAAUGACGUCAAUACAGGAGUUACUUCCUCUGUCAGACUUUUGAUUGGCAUUUUAACUUCGUCCAAAUUGUUUUACAGAUAAUUUGAAGAUUUUAUCUCAUCAGUCCAAAGGACAAAGCUUCCAAAAACUAAUUUCCCAACUGAAUUCAAAUGGACGCAAACUUCAAUGUGGUUUUGCAACCACACACAACCUGUUGUUAGCACUUUCCAAAACAAUGCUUCUCACUGGAGCUGGUAACAGAAAUCAAGGGUCAUAAAGCACAGAGUCAGGAGGAACAGGUGUAAACCCUUGACUUAUUCAGUAAGUCUAUAUAUAUAUAUAUAUAUAUACACACACACAUGCUGUCAUUGUUCCGUUUCUUGUGUAACAAUCUGUAACAAUCCUGAGAGACUUAAGUUACUAUCUUGUUUCAUUCUGCUGUUACUUCAUUUCAGGUUCUCUUCUUGUAAAGCCGUUUUUGAAGUUGCUGUUGUUACACCAUUUCCCUUGUGAGUGUUAUAAAGUCGGGUUGCUGACACAAUUUUCUCUUGUCGAAACAUUGUCAAAUGCACUGAAAGGGCCAGGUUCACACCGCUGGCUUCACUUUUUUUAAUAAUUUUACCCGUCUUUUAAAAGAAGUGUUAUCUGAUCAGACAGGAAGUUUCCUAGCUAAUCAUUUGACCUUAACCGUGGGGAAGUCGUGAUGGGAAUUUGGCGGUACUUAUUUUUCCGACACCAUAAAACGAGCAAUUAGUAACGACAACAAUCAUGAAUUACAGCCAUAAACGUUUAUGAUUCCUGGACGGUAAGUAAAGCAGUGAGUCAAACCCUCAACGUAUUAGUUGGUUAACUGAGCGAGUAACCUUGUCUUUUUUUUUUUUACUGUUUUCAUUCUCUUUUUAAUCUAAAUUUGUUUUAAAUUGAAUGAUUAUUAUCCCUUGUGUUGUUUUUGUUUGUUGUAAUGUUUAUGAUUAACUAUAUUGUGUUUCUGUAACUGCACUGGUCGACUGAGGUUGUUUUAAACGUGCUCUACAAAUAAACUCUGACUUCACUUCA
Mugil cephalus (flathead mullet) is the source of this 4643-nucleotide long non-coding RNA. RefSeq lists it as uncharacterized. The record is from RefSeq and is a predicted model, not a curated record. Lineage: Eukaryota; Metazoa; Chordata; Actinopteri; Mugiliformes; Mugilidae. The transcript has 2 exons.